GAUGAACGCUGGCGGCGUGCUUAACACAUGCAAGUCGAACGAACGGACGAGAAGCUUGUUUCUCUGAUGUUAGCGGCGGAAGGGGGAGUAACACGCGGAUAACAUACGUAUAAGUCUGCGAUAACUUCGGGAAACAGGAGCGAAUACCGGAUAAUAUUUUGAACCGUAUGGUGCAAAAGUGAAAGACGGUCUUGCUGUCACUUAUAGAUGGAUCCGCACGGCAUUAGCUAGUUGGUGAGGUAACGGCUUACCAUGGCAACGAUGCAUAGCCGACCCGAGCUGGUGGUCGGCCCCACUAGACCUGAGCCGCGGCCCAGACCCCUACCGGAGGCCACGGUACGGACUCUUCCGCUAUGGGCGAAAGCCUGACGUAGCACCGCCGCGUGAGGGAUGAAGGUCUUCCGAUCGUAAAGCUCUGUUAUUAGGCAAGAACAUAUGUGCAAGUACCUGUGCACAUCUUGACGGUACCUAAUCAGAAAGCCCCGGCUAACUACGUG
This 497-nucleotide ribosomal RNA is filed under the name uncultured bacterium. Its description in RNAcentral is "partial 16S ribosomal RNA". It matches the Rfam family "Bacterial small subunit ribosomal RNA", at positions 28 to 507 of the family's 1533-position model. The record is from RNAcentral.